RNAcentral lists this ribosomal RNA (792 nucleotides) under uncultured bacterium. RNAcentral's name for it is "bacterial SSU rRNA". It matches the Rfam family "Bacterial small subunit ribosomal RNA", at positions 62 to 887 of the family's 1533-position model. The record is from RNAcentral.
UCGCACGAGAAAGUGGAGCAAUCCAUGAGUACAGUGGCGUACGGGUGAGUAACACGUGGGUAAUCUACCUCUUAGUGGGGAAUAACCCUGGGAAACCGGGGCUAAUACCGCAUAAUCUCGAGAGAGGAAAGCAGCAAUGCGCUGAGAGAGGAGCCCGCGGCCGAUUAGCUUGUUGGCAGGGUAAAAGCCUACCAAGGCAUAGAUCGGUAGCCGGCCUGAGAGGGCACACGGCCACACUGGCACUGAAACACGGGCCAGACUCCUACGGGAGGCAGCAGUGGGGAAUCUUGCACAAUGGGGGCAACCCUGAUGCAGCGACGCCGCGUGAGCGAUGAAGCCCUUCGGGGUGUAAAGCUCUUUCGUCAGGGAAGAUUAUGACGGUACCUGGAGAAGCAGCUGCGGCUAACUACGUGCCAGCAGCCGCGGUAAUACGUAGGCAGCGAGCGUUGUUCGGAGUUACUGGGCGUAAAGGGUGUGUAGGCGGUUGUUUAAGUUUGGUGUGAAAUCUCCCGGCUCAACUGGGAGGGUGCGCCGAAUACUGAAUGACUCGAGUGCGGGAGAGGAGAGUGGAAUUCCUGGUGUAGCGGUGAAAUGCGUAGAUAUCAGGAGGAACACCGGCGGUGUAGACGGCUCUCUGGACCGUAACUGACGCUGAGACACGAAAGCGUGGGUAGCAAACAGGAUUAGAUACCCUGGUAGUCCACGCCCUAAACGAUGCAUAUUUGGUGUGGGUCAUUCAGUUGAUCCGUGCCGGAGCUAACGCGUUAAAUAUGCCGCCUGGGGAGUACAGUC